ACAACAUCAUGAUGUAACAAUCCAAUGGGCAUUUUCAUCAAAAAUAAAACAACUCAAGUCAACCCUGUAAACAACUCAGGUACUCCUGGUCAUCCCAGUCCUAUGGCUGUAACCACCAGUACACAUCACACCAUCACCUCCAUCAAAAAGUAGAACCAUGGCUAUCCAGAACAGUACUCUCUGAACCUCACCUUCUUGGCGCUAGGUCCCCCCUUCUUCUUUGCAGGGGCAUCCGUGGUCCAUGGUGUUCGGCAACCGCGACAACAUACCCUCGAGUGGUUCUCUCACCUGCAAUUGUGUCAACUUUAAGUUCAGGUCAAACAAACAGUCCAAUUCCCUUUGAAUUCAGUGUGCAGCUUCUCAUUGAGUGGGUGAUUGCCGAGCUCAACCGCAUAGUUGUUUUAUUUGAAAUAGUUAGCUUGGAUCCACCCGAGAGAAACACACGUAUGUAGAAGUGCAAAGCUAAGCAAGCUGCUUGAUUGAUUUUACUGGGAUGGCAGCGUAGAUGUUCGUACAAGAAUGACCUGAACCUUGGUUCUGGCUGGCUACAGAUUUAGUCAAUCAAAUCGACCCUCCCUCAUGCAUGUGAGCUGGUGAUAGCCCAAGGUGUGCUCGAAGCAUGUCAAGAUCCGCCCUGUGUGGGAUCCUAAACACAUGCUGGGUAUCCUGCAAGGACCAAGAGCAUAAAACAUAAGGCUGCAAGGAAUUGCAUGAAGCAACUGUAAUACAGUAUGAGACAGCGAGCAGAGAAGCCAUAUCUGUUCGUGCUUCUUCAGUUCAGAUCAGUUCAAGAGGAUGUGUCAUAUAGGGUCGAACCCAUCCAAUAUCACACGUGCAUCCUAGCUCAACUGGUUGACCCCAGUGUCAACCCAUCAGGAGGUCCUGGGUUCAAACGCAAUGUUCUCCUUUUUCUCCUACUAGAUGGAAAGUGCGGCUUGCCGCACCCCGCACCCCUGCAGGGUGCAGUCGUAUCCCCCCCGCGGUCGUAUUCAACCUGAUAAUAAAGCUAUCAGAUCAAAGGUGUAAGAACAACAUCAUGAUGUAACAAUCCAAUGGGCAUUUUCAUCAAAAAUAAAACAACUCAAGUCAACCCUGUAAACAACUCAGGUACUCCUGGUCAUCCCAGUCCUAUGGCUGUAACCACCAGUACACAUCACACCAUCACCUCCAUCAAAAAGUAGAACCAUGGCUAUCCAGAACAGUACUCUCUGAACCUCACCUUCUUGGCGCUAGGUCCCCCCUUCUUCUUUGCAGGGGCAUCCGUGGUCCAUGGUGUUCGGCAACCGCGACAACAUACCCUCGAGUGGUUCUCUCACCUGCAAUUGUGUCAACUUUAAGUUCAGGUCAAACAAACAGUCCAAUUCCCUUUGAAUUCAGUGUGCAGCUUCUCAUUGAGUGGGUGAUUGCCGAGCUCAACCGCAGAGUUGUUUUAUUUGAAAUAGUUAGCUUGGAUCCACCCGAGAGAAACACACGUAUGUAGAAGUGCAA
RNAcentral lists this long non-coding RNA (1488 nucleotides) under Triticum aestivum (bread wheat). RNAcentral describes it as "long non-coding RNA (TAES_LNC019983)". The record is from RNAcentral. Lineage: Eukaryota; Viridiplantae; Streptophyta; Magnoliopsida; Poales; Poaceae.